CUAAAUGGAUUUCUGGCCUUGGAACCCCAAGAAUCGCUUAGAGAGCUGCCACAGUUCUUUUAGAAUGUUUUCUAGCAGCGACCCAGAGAAGGCUGUCUGAAGAGUGAACACGGCUCUGUUAGAAUUUUUUUUCUUUCUGAUUUUGAUUGGAAAACCUAAGAAUUACUUUUAGAAUUUUUCUAUCUGACUUGGUCAGAAGAUCUAAGAACUUUGUUAGAGCAGCUUUUCCGACUUUGGUCAGAAAACCCAUGAGCUAUUUAGAGAGCUGUUAGAAUGUUUACUAGCAGAGAGAGCUGUCUCAGCAGAAAGCUAGCUGUCUCAACCAGAGAGGGUUUUUUUUGUUUUUUUUUGUUGUUUUUGUUUUUGUUUUUGUUUUUGUUUUUUUGUUUUUGUUUUUGUUUUUUUUAAGAAUAGCAAGAAAAAAAGCUGUCUAGAACAGAGAGAGAGAGAGAAUCUGGAAACAUAGGCCAGCUUGGACCCAUGAGGCUGGUCCUUGGCAGAUUCCUGGGCCUUGAAAGGAGGGGGUUGAUGAAGACAGCCCAUUUAGAACUGAGUGCUCUGAAAUGAACUCUCUCUGUGCGUUGUCAGUUGAGGGUCUCUGUAUUAGCUCCCAUCAGCUACAAGAAGCAGCUUCUCUGAUGAGGGCUGAGGGAGGCACUGGCCAGGGGUAUAGCUGUGCGUCAUUAGGAGCCACGUUAUUGCUGUGUUCCUUUAGCAAAACAGUAGUAUUAGGUUUCUCUGUCUCCUCUCAGGUUCUUGGCCAAUUUAGCUGCGUCAGAUGCUAGUUCCAUCUAACAGAGUGGGUCUUGGAUCCAAUCAGAAAGUGGUUGGUUACUCUCACACACAUAUCGCUAUUGUACAGUGGCCUGCAAGCAGGUCAUUAUUGUAGGCCACAGGUUUUAUAGACGAUAGAUAUCGAUAAUCACCCUUAUCCUCCAGAACCACACAGAAUACCUUCCAAUAUCAUGGAUGCUAGUCAGUAGAGCGUCUUGCGAAGCUUCCUGUUGGACACCAGCUCACCUUCUCUAUAACAUAUAUAAGUUCUGUCUUCAACAUCAGGACCUUACCAGCAGGUUAUUGGAGUCACAGCCUUUACAGUAGCCAGCCUUGUUUAGGUGUUUCCAUGGGGAAGGGGCAGGGAGGAUUGGCCCAACAACUCAACAAACUGUGAUCCAUUCCUGACACUGGAGGUUUUAAGUCAUUGGACACCGGAGGCAUAAGAUGUUUAGUUGGGACAUCGUGUCUCCUAUCAUUUGGCUGCUUCCAAUUUCUGGCCCUCGUGAAUAAAGCAGUAAACAUAGAUGAGUGAGUGUCUCUGUCAUAGGAUGGAAAGACCUUUGAGUUCACAUUCAAGAAUGGCAUCGCUGGACUUUUCGACAGAUCAGUUCUUACCUUCUGAAGAACCUCCACACUGAUUUCCAUAGUGGCUGUACAAGUUUGCACUCCCAGCAACAAUAAAUAAAUAAGUGUUCUCG
Non-coding RNA from Rattus norvegicus (Norway rat), 1475 nucleotides. The record is from RefSeq and is a predicted model, not a curated record. Lineage: Eukaryota; Metazoa; Chordata; Mammalia; Rodentia; Muridae.